AGAGUUUGAUCCUGGCUCAGGACGAACGCUGGCGGCACGCUUAACACAUGCAAGUCGAACGAGAGAAGAGGAGCUUGCCUUUCUGAUCUAGUGGCGGACGGGUGAGUAACACGUGAGCAAUCUGCCUUUCAGAGGGGGAUACCGAUUGGAAACGAUCGUUAAUACCGCAUAACAUAAUUGAACCGCAUGAUUUGAUUAUCAAAGAUUUAUCGCUGAAAGAUGAGCUCGCGUCUGAUUAGCUAGUUGGUAAGGUAACGGCUUACCAAGGCGACGAUCAGUAGCCGGACUGAGAGGUUGAUCGGCCACAUUGGGACUGAGACACGGCCCAGACUCCUACGGGAGGCAGCAGUGGGGAAUAUUGCACAAUGGAGGAAACUCUGAUGCAGCGAUGCCGCGUGAGGGAAGAAGGUUUUAGGAUUGUAAACCUCUGUCUUCAGGGACGAAAAAAGACGGUACCUGAGGAGGAAGCUCCGGCUAACUACGUGCCAGCAGCCGCGGUAAUACGUAGGGAGCGAGCGUUGUCCGGAAUUACUGGGUGUAAAGGGAGCGUAGGCGGGAUCGCAAGUCAGAUGUGAAAACUAUGGGCUUAACCCAUAAACUGCAUUUGAAACUGUGGUUCUUGAGUGAGGUAGAGGUAAGCGGAAUUCCUAGUGUAGCGGUGAAAUGCGUAGAUAUUAGGAGGAACAUCAGUGGCGAAGGCGGCUUACUGGGCUUUAACUGACGCUGAGGCUCGAAAGCGUGGGGAGCAAACAGGAUUAGAUACCCUGGUAGUCCACGCCGUAAACGAUGAUUACUAGGUGUGGGGGGACUGACCCCUUCCGUGCCGCAGCAAACGCAAUAAGUAAUCCACCUGGGGAGUACGACCGCAAGGUUGAAACUCAAAGGAAUUGACGGGGGCCCGCACAAGCAGUGGAGUAUGUGGAUUAAUUCGGAGCAACGCGAAGAACCUUACCAGGUCUUGACAUCGUAUGCAUAGCUCAGAGAUGAGUGAAAUCUCUUCGGAGACAUAUAGACAGGUGGUGCAUGGUUGUCGUCAGCUCGUGUCGUGAGAUGUUGGGUUAAGUCCCGCAACGAGCGCAACCCUUACUGUUAGUUGCUACGCAAGAGCACUCUAGCAGGACUGCCGUUGACAAAACGGAGGAAGGUGGGGAUGACGUCAAAUCAUCAUGCCCCUUAUGACCUGGGCCUCACACGUACUACAAUGGCUGUCAACAGAGGGAAGCAAAGCCGCGAGGUGGAGCGAACCCCUAAAAGCAGUCUUAGUUCGGAUUGUAGGCUGCAACCCGCCUACAUGAAGUCGGAAUUGCUAGUAAUCGCAGAUCAGCAUGCUGCGGUGAAUACGUUCCCGGGCCUUGUACACACCGCCCGUCACGCCAUGGGAGUCGGUAACACCCGAAGCCUGUAGUCUAACCGCAAGGAGGACGCAGUCGAAGGUGGGAUUGAUGACUGGGGUGAAGUCGUAACAAGGUA
Molecule: ribosomal RNA, 1470 nt
Filed under: metagenome
Description: bacterial SSU rRNA
Rfam family: Bacterial small subunit ribosomal RNA
Source: RNAcentral